This 446-nucleotide ribosomal RNA is filed under the name uncultured bacterium. RNAcentral describes it as "partial 16S ribosomal RNA". It matches the Rfam family "Bacterial small subunit ribosomal RNA", at positions 338 to 795 of the family's 1533-position model. The record is from RNAcentral.
CCUACGGGGAGCAGCAGUCGAGAAUCAUUCACAAUGGGGGAAACCCUGAUGGUGCGACGCCGCGUGGGGGAAUGAAGGUCUUCGGAUUGUAAACCCCUGUCAUGUGGGAGCAAAUUAAAAAGAUAGUACCACAAGAGGAAGAGACGGCUAACUCUGUGCCAGCAGCCGCGGUAAUACAGUGGUCUCAAGCGUUGUUCGGAAUCACUGGGCGUAAAGGGUGCGGAGGCUGUUUCGUAAGUCGUGUGUGAAAGGCGCGGGCUCAACCCGCGGACGGCACAUGAUACUGCGGGACUAGAGUAAUGGAGGGGGAACCGGAAUUCUCGGUGUAGCAGUGAAAUGCGUAGAUAUCGAGAGGAACACUCGUGGCGAAGGCGGGUUCCUGGACAUUAACUGACGCUGAGGCACGAAGGCCAGGGGAGCGAAAGGGAUUAGAUACCCUGGUAGUC